GAUAGCGCAAGUGAGCUGAACUUCUGCGCUGCUGUAGUGCACUAUCCUCAGUUUAAUACUUUAUUUCGGAAGUUAUUAUCUUUGACGAAAACAUCUGAAGCCUUGUGUGUUUUUAUCAACACCAUUAAGGACUGUUGGAUUUGCUCUUCAUCCAGUAAUUAACGGGUUUAUCGGGAAGUUAAGAUGUUUACAGUGAUAUUCUGGGCUUCCAGUGGCAUCCGAACCUGUGAUUUCUGAAAGCAGGUAAGCCACUGACUAACGCACAUUGCGCCUGUUCUCCACUCCACUGUGCGUGUGACAGCGGCUAACCAGCUUUUGGAUGAGUGCCUGACUUCAGCAGCCGUGGGAACGUCCCACCGGAGACUCCCGAACGGGUCGAGGCGGACACACUCACUGGAGGGACGCUUUUGGGCCCCCCGUCCCUCCACGAGUCUCUCUGCUCCUGUAGCUCAAGUGUUGAGUGUUUGAUUCCCGUGCAGCACAUCACGUGCUGAAGAGAUGAACGCAUGCAUCAGUGCAUACGUGCAGUGUGUCACAGACACGUGCUCCUGACUAAACUCACAUCUCUAGAUGAAGCUGCUUCGCUCAGUCAUACUUGUAUAUGUCAGAAUAAUGUUGUCUUGCACUAAACCAGCAGCUCUGAACUUUUGAACUUGAACCGUUAUGCAAAUCCAGUCACAGUAGCUGUGUAAACUGAAACAGCUCUGAAUCACACGUUUAACAGGCUCGCUCUGUUAUAUUUAGCAUAGUAAUAAUUCAACUUUCAUUCUGAUCAGCAGUUUCAGUUUUGGUUUCAAAAUAUGAUAC
Long non-coding RNA from Sinocyclocheilus grahami, 807 nucleotides. RefSeq lists it as uncharacterized. NCBI's taxonomy places the organism in Eukaryota, Metazoa, Chordata, Actinopteri, Cypriniformes, Cyprinidae. The transcript has 3 exons. The record is from RefSeq and is a predicted model, not a curated record.